GAAAGCUUGGCGAUACAGGGUGAUAGCCCCGUAACCGACGCUUCAUCGAGCGUGAAAUCGAGUAGGGCGGGACACGUGAUAUCCUGUCUGAAUAUGGGGGGACCAUCCUCCAAGGCUAAAUACUCCUGACUGACCGAUAGUGAACCAGUACCGUGAGGGAAAGGCGAAAAGAACCCCUGUGAGGGGAGUGAAAUAGAACCUGAAACCGUGUACGUACAAGCAGUAGGAGCACCUUCGUGGUGUGACUGCGUACCUUUUGUAUAAUGGGUCAGCGACUUAUAUUCAGUGGCAAGGUUAACCGUAUAGGGGAGCCGUAGCGAAAGCGAGUCUUAACUGGGCGCUCAGUCUCUGGAUAUAGACCCGAAACCGGGUGAUCUAGCCAUGGGCAGGUUGAAGGUUGAGUAACAUCAACUGGAGGACCGAACCGACUAAUGUUGAAAAAUUAGCGGAUGACUUGUGGCUAGGGGUGAAAGGCCAAUCAAACUCGGAGAUAGCUGGUUCUCCCCGAAAGCUAUUUAGGUAGCGCCUCGGACGAAUACUACUGGGGGUAGAGCACUGUUAAGGCUAGGGGGUCAUCCCGACUUACCAACCCUUUGCAAACUCCGAAUACCAGUAAGUACUAUCCGGGAGACACACGGCGGGUGCUAACGUCCGUCGUGGAGAGGGAAACAACCCAGACCGCCAGCUAAGGUCCCAAAGUAUUGCUAAGUGGGAAACGAUGUGGGAAGGCUCAGACAGCUAGGAUGUUGGCUUAGAAGCAGCCAUCAUUUAAAGAAAGCGUAAUAGCUCACUAGUCGAGUCGGCCUGCGCGGAAGAUGUAACGGGGCUAAGCAAUACACCGAAGCUGCGGCAAUAUCUUUUAGAUAUUGGGUAGGGGAGCGUUCUGUAAGCCGUUGAAGGUGAAUCGUAAGGUUUGCUGGAGGUAUCAGAAGUGCGAAUGCUGACAUGAGUAACGACAAAGGGGGUGAAAAACCUCCUCGCCGGAAGACCAAGGGUUCCUGUCCAACGUUAAUCGGGGCAGGGUGAGUCGACCCCUAAGGUGAGGCCGAAAGGCGUAAUCGAUGGGAAACGGGUUAAUAUUCCCGUACUUCUGACUAUUGCGAUGGGGGGACGGAGAAGGCUAGGUGGGCCAGGCGACGGUUGUCCUGGUUCAAGUGCGUAGGCUUGAGAGUUAGGUAAAUCCGGCUCUCUCUAAGGCUGAGACACGACGUCGAGCUGCUACGGCAGUGAAGUCAUUGAUGCCAUGCUUCCAGGAAAAGCCUCUAAGCUUCAGAUAGUCAGGAAUCGUACCCCAAACCGACACAGGUGGUCGGGUAGAGAAUACCAAGGCGCUUGAGAGAACUCGGGUGAAGGAACUAGGCAAAAUGGUACCGUAACUUCGGGAGAAGGUAC
Molecule: ribosomal RNA, 1392 nt
Filed under: Vibrio cholerae
Lineage: Bacteria; Pseudomonadati; Pseudomonadota; Gammaproteobacteria; Vibrionales; Vibrionaceae
Description: partial 23S ribosomal RNA
Rfam family: Bacterial large subunit ribosomal RNA
Source: RNAcentral